UUCAAGACUGGCUGAUGAAGGUUGGGCCAAACUAUUCAAUUGAUGGGCUGACUUCAGAUUCAAAUGGACUGACCCAGAAAAUGCAUGGGCUGAUUGGCGGGCUGCUGAGUUCUUUGGCCAAACUUGGCUGUUCAAGUGGGCUUCAAAUGACCCAACUAUUGGGCUUUUGGGCUGAAGAAGCUGAACUUCACAUGGGCUUCAAGUGGCUGCUCGGUUGAAAAUCACGGGGCUCCUGGGCCCGUGAAAUUGAAGGUUGCUGGGCCGAAAUCCAUCGGCUUCGUGCGGGGCAGCAAGUCCGGUCAACAGAGACAGCGAAGGAGUUGAGGAAGCUGGACUUCGGUGACCGCUUGAUGAUGAACGUUGACUGGAGAAGCAGCUGGCGUGCGCAGGGGUCUU
Molecule: long non-coding RNA, 396 nt
Filed under: Eucalyptus grandis
Lineage: Eukaryota; Viridiplantae; Streptophyta; Magnoliopsida; Myrtales; Myrtaceae
Description: long non-coding RNA (EGRA_LNC007041)
Source: RNAcentral